Molecule: ribosomal RNA, 515 nt
Filed under: uncultured bacterium
Lineage: Bacteria
Description: bacterial SSU rRNA
Rfam family: Bacterial small subunit ribosomal RNA
Source: RNAcentral
CUACGUGCCAGCAGCCGCGGUAAUACGGAGGGUGCGAGCGUUAAUCGGAAUAACUGGGCGUAAAGGGCACGCAGGCGGUGACUUAAGUGAGGUGUGAAAGCCCCGGGCUUAACCUGGGAAUUGCAUUUCAUACUGGGUCGCUAGAGUACUUUAGGGAGGGGUAGAAUUCCACGUGUAGCGGUGAAAUUCGUAGAUAUGUGCAGGAAUGCCGAUGAUGAAGAUAGUUCACUGGACGGUAACUGACGCUGAAGUGCGAAAGCUAGGGGAGCAAACAGGAUUAGAUACCCUGGUAGUCCUAGCUGUAAACGAUGAUUACUGGGUGUGGGCAUGAAGAGUGUCCGUGCCGAAGCUAAUGCGAUAAGUAAUCCGCCUGGGGAGUACGACCGCAAGGUUGAAACUCAAAGGAAUUGACGGGGGCCCGCACAAGCGGUGGAGCAUGUGGUUUAAUUCGAAGCAACGCGAAGAACCUUACCAGGUCUUGACAUCCCUCUGACCGCUCUAGAGAUAGAGUUUUC